This 253-nucleotide ribosomal RNA is filed under the name uncultured bacterium. RNAcentral's name for it is "partial 16S ribosomal RNA". It matches the Rfam family "Bacterial small subunit ribosomal RNA", at positions 524 to 776 of the family's 1533-position model. The record is from RNAcentral.
UACGUAGGGGGCAAGCGUUAUCCGGAUUUACUGGGUGUAAAGGGAGCGUAGACGGCAAUGCAAGUCUGGAGUGAAAGGCGGGGGCCCAACCCCCGGACUGCUCUGGAAACUGUAUAGCUGGAGUGCAGGAGAGGUAAGUGGAAUUCUUAGUGUAGCGGUGAAAUGCGUAGAUAUUAGGAGGAACACCAGUGGCGAAGGCGGCUUACUGGACUGUAACUGACGUUGAGGCUCGAAAGCGUGGGGAGCAAACAGG